ACAUGCAAGUCGCGCGUGAAAGGACUUCGGUCCGAGUAAAGCGGCGCACGGGUGAGUAACGCGUGGAUGAUCUACCCAUGAGUUAGGAAUAACGGCUGGAAACGGUCGCUAAUACCAAAUACGCUCCGAUUUCAACUUCGGGGGAAAGGUGGCCUCUGCUUGCAAGCUACUGCUCAUGGAUGAGUCCGCGUCCCAUUAGCUAGUUGGUGGGGUAACGGCCCACCAAGGCGACGAUGGGUAGCCGGUCUGAGAGGAUGACCGGCCACACUGGGACUGGAACACGGCCCAGACUCCUACGGGAGGCAGCAGUGGGGAAUAUUGCGCAAUGGGCGAAAGCCUGACGCAGCGACGCCGCGUGAGGGAUGAAGGUCCUCGGAUCGUAAACCUCUGUCAGGAGGGAAGAACCGCCACGGUGCUAAUCAGCCGUGGUCUGACGGUACCUCCAAAGGAAGCACCGGCUAACUCCGUGCCAGCAGCGGC
Molecule: ribosomal RNA, 480 nt
Filed under: uncultured bacterium
Lineage: Bacteria
Description: bacterial SSU rRNA
Rfam family: Bacterial small subunit ribosomal RNA
Source: RNAcentral